GAUGAACGCUGGCGGCGUGCCUAAUACAUGCAAGUCGAGCGAACGGACGCUAAGCUUGCUUCUCUGAUGUUAGCGGCGGACGGGUGAGUAACACGUGGAUAACCUACCUAUAAGACUGGGAUAACUUCGGGAAACCGGAGCUCAUACCGGAUAAUAUUUUGAACCGCAUGGUUCAAAAGUGAAAGACGGUCUUGCUGUCACUUAUAGAUGGAUCCGCGCUGCAUUAGCUAGUUGGUAAGGUAACGGCUUACCAAGGCAACGAUGCAUAGCCGACCUGAGAGGGUGAUCGGCCACACUGGAACUGAGACACGGUCCAGACUCCUACGGGAGGCAGCAGUAGGGAAUCUUCCGCAAUGGGCGAAAGCCUGACGGAGCAACGCCGCGUGAGUGAUGAAGGUCUUCGGAUCGUAAAACUCUGUUAUUAGGGAAGAACAUAUGUGUAAGUAACUGUGCACAUCUUGACGGUACCUAAUCAGAAAGCCACGGCUAACUACGUG
Molecule: ribosomal RNA, 497 nt
Filed under: uncultured bacterium
Lineage: Bacteria
Description: partial 16S ribosomal RNA
Rfam family: Bacterial small subunit ribosomal RNA
Source: RNAcentral